AACGAACGCUGGCGGCAUGCCUAACACAUGCAAGUCGAACGAGACCUUCGGGUCUGGUGGCGCACGGGGGCGUAACGCGUGGGAACCUGCCCUUAGGUUCGGAAUAACUCCCCGAAGGGGGUGCUAAUACCGGAUAAUGUCUUCGGACCAAAGAGUGAUCGCCUUUGGAUGGGCCCGCGUUGGAUUAGCUAGUUGGUAGGGUAAAAGCCUACCAAGGCGACGAUCCAUAGCUGGUCUGAGAGGAUGAUCAGCCACACUGGGACUGAGACACGGCCCAGACUCGUACGGGAGGCAGCAGUGGGGAAUAUUGGACAACGGGCGAAAGCCUGAACCAGCAAUGCCGCGUGAGUGAUGAAGGCCGUAGGGUUGUAAAGCUCUUUUACCCGGGAUGAUAAUGACAGUACCGGGAGAAUAAGCUCCGGCUAACUCCGUG
This 433-nucleotide ribosomal RNA is filed under the name uncultured bacterium. Its description in RNAcentral is "partial 16S ribosomal RNA". It matches the Rfam family "Bacterial small subunit ribosomal RNA", at positions 29 to 507 of the family's 1533-position model. The record is from RNAcentral.